This 778-nucleotide long non-coding RNA is filed under the name Mytilus galloprovincialis (Mediterranean mussel). Lineage: Eukaryota; Metazoa; Mollusca; Bivalvia; Mytilida; Mytilidae. The record is from RNAcentral.
GUUCUGUUUUAAAUUAUGGACAAAAUUGUUAUUUCAAAAUUUCGAUUUGGGAUCCAUCAUAGAGGAAAUCCCCCACAAUGACAGUUGGUAGGUAUUUAAGGAUGUACUGAUUGUACUUAGGUGAGGUUUUGGAAUUUGUGUCAAAUGUUCAGACUCCUUGGUGUUUUUCCAUACAAUACAAUGUUAAAUAUUUUACCCCACAACACCCAUUUAUUUUUUGAUAUAAGACUUAAUAGUCCAUUAAGAGGUCAUUUACCAAAAUUUUAAAAGAUUCUUGAUUUUCAUUCUUUUGUUUUGAGACCCAAAUAAUACUAAUGCAAAUAUAGGGUAUAAGUCUGAGUCAGCCUUUUCCCGCCAUAUUUUAAAUCUCAAAUAUCUCGAAAAGGAGGUCCAUGACCUAUCAAUAUUUUUAGCUUAUCUUUAUCCUUAAUUGAUGAUCUACCAGCUUAUAGUAUCAAUUUUAAUUUCUUAAUUUCUUAAAUUUUUACCUUACCUCACCUAAGUACAUCCUUAAGCCUUGGGAAGACAAAUUGUAUUAUGGUAUACAUAUGUCCGUUUGCUCAUCCAUGUCAGUAUAUUUUGCUGUAGUGUAACUGAUACAUUUAUAGUCUGAAAAUUUUACACUAUGUUAGCACCUGAAGUGAAUUUUGCUUUUAAUUUUUACAAAUUGUCUUGUUCAGUUUGAACUAUGUGCAUAGAUAUUAGAAAACAGAUUUCUGACACUUGCUUGCUUUCUGUGAAUCCAUGGCAGCAUUCUGUCAUGACAAAAGAAAAAGAG